Molecule: ribosomal RNA, 484 nt
Filed under: uncultured bacterium
Lineage: Bacteria
Description: partial 16S ribosomal RNA
Rfam family: Bacterial small subunit ribosomal RNA
Source: RNAcentral
AUUGAACGCUGGCGGCAGGCCUAACACAUGCAAGUCGAGCGGAUGAAGGGAGCUUGCUCCUGGAUUCAGCGGCGGACGGGUGAGUAAUGCCUAGGAAUCUGCCUGGUAGUGGGGGAUAACGUCCGGAAACGGGCGCUAAUACCGCAUACGUCCUGAGGGAGAAAGGGGGGGAUCUUCGGACCUCACGCUAUCAGAUGAGCCUAUGUCGGAUUAGCUAGUUGGUGGGGUAAAGGCCUACCAAGCCGACGAUCCGUAACUGGUCUGAGAGGAUGAUCAGUCACACUGGAACUGAGACACGGUCCAGACUCCUACGGGAGGCAGCAGUGGGGAAUAUUGGACAAUGGGCGAAAGCCUGAUCCAGCCAUGCCGCGUGUGUGAAGAAGGUCUUCGGAUUGUAAAGCACUUUAGGUUGGAAGGAAAAGCAGUAAGUUAAUACCUUGCUGUUUUGACGUUACCAACAGAAUAAGCACCGGCUAACUUCGUG